This 460-nucleotide ribosomal RNA is filed under the name uncultured bacterium. Its description in RNAcentral is "partial 16S ribosomal RNA". It matches the Rfam family "Bacterial small subunit ribosomal RNA", at positions 338 to 795 of the family's 1533-position model. The record is from RNAcentral.
CCUACGGGGGUCAGCAGUGAGGAAUAUUAGUCAAUGGACGAGAGUCUGAACCAGCCAAGUAGCGUGAAGGAUGACUGCCCUAUGGGUUGUAAACUUCUUUUAUAUGGGGAUAAAAUGUUCCACGUGUGGGAUUUUGUAUGUACCAUAUGAAUAAGGAUUGGCUAACUCCGUGCCAGCAUCGGAGGUCAUACGGAGGAUCCGAGCGUUAUCCGGAUUUAUUGGGUUUAAAGGGAGCGUAGGUUGAUUGUUAAGUCAGUUGUGAAAGUUUGCGUCUCAACCGUAAAAUUGCAGUUGAAUCUGGCAGUCUUGAGUACAGGAGAGGUAGGCGGAAUUCGUGGUGUAGCGGUGAAAUGCUUAGAUAUCACGAAGAACUCCGAUUGCGAAGGCAGUUCACUGGACUGCAACUGACACUGAGGCUCGAAAGUGUGGGUAUCAAACAGGAUUAGAUACCCGAGUAGUC